GGGGCUGGGGGUAGGAAGCAUGGAGAAUUGUUAAAAGUGUAGACAUAAAUGAAGAAACUGACAAUAACACAAUAAUAGUAUUAAUACCACACUUACAUCAAUGGACAGAAGAAUCAAUAAGGCCACAGUGGUUCUAAAUGACAGAAUAGGCCAGUUGGACUCAAUAGAUAUCUACAAGACAUCACAUCCUCAAACAGCAGAAUACGUAUUCUUUUCAGGUGCAAGUGAGACAUUCUGAGGAUAGAUCACAUGCUAAACCACAAAACAAGUCUCAACAAAUUUAAGGGGAUAGAAAUUAUAUCAAGCAUUUUUUUUUCGUCUUUUUUAGGGCUGUACCCAUGGCAUAUGGAAGUUCUCAGUGGGUUAAGGAUCCGGCGUGGCCAGGAGCUGUGGUGUUGGUCACAGAUGCAGCUCAGAUCUGGUGUUGCUGUGGCUCUGUUGUAGACCCGCAGCAACAUCUCCAACUAGACCCCUAGUCUGGGAACCUCCAUAUGCUGCGGGUGCAGCCCUAAAAAGACAAAAGGACACACCCAAAAAAAGACCACAAAUAAAUGUUGAUGGGAAUAUAUGGGCAAAACAGAACCCUAUGCACUGCUGGUGGAAUGUCAACUGGUACAGCCAUUAGAGAAAACAGUAUGGAGGUUCCCCCCAAAACUAAAAAUAGAACUACUGUAUGAUCCAGCAAUUCCGCUCUGGCUAUCUAUCCAAAGAAAAUGAAAACACUAAUUCAAAAAGAUACAUGCAUGCCCCCAUAUUAAAGGCAGUAUUAUUUACAGUAACCAAGAUACGGAAGUCACCUUCGUGUCCAACAAGAGAGGACUGGAUAAAGAGGACAUGGAGUCUUCUGUACACACACACAGACACACAUCUGCACAAUGGCAUACUUCUCAGCCAUAGAGAAGAAUGAAAUUUUUCCACUUGCAACAACUUGGACACCCAGAGGGUAUUAUGUUAAGAAAAAUAAUUCGGAGAGACAAAGAAAAAUACUAUAUGGUAUCACUUAUAUGUGGAAUCUAAAAAUAAAACAAAGGAAUGAAUAUAACCAAACAGAAACAGACUGGGAGCUGCCUUUGUGGCUCAGCAGUUAAUGAACCCCACUAGCAUCCAUGAGGACGUGGGUUCAAUCCCUGGCCUCCCUCAGUGCUUAAGGAUCCGGCGCUGCCAUGAGGUGUGGUGCAGGCUGUAAACGCAGCUCGGAUCCCACGUUGCCGUGGCUGUGGGGUAGGCCUGCGGCCACAGCUCUGAUUCGACUCCUAGCCUGGGAACCUGCAUAUGUCGCAGGUGCAGCCCUAAAAACCAAAAAAAAA
RNAcentral lists this long non-coding RNA (1307 nucleotides) under Sus scrofa (pig). RNAcentral describes it as "lncRNA (ENSSSCG00060077771.1)". Lineage: Eukaryota; Metazoa; Chordata; Mammalia; Artiodactyla; Suidae. The record is from RNAcentral.